AUUGAACGCUGGCGGCAUGCCUUACACAUGCAAGUCGAACGGUAACAGGUUAAGCUGACGAGUGGCGAACGGGUGAGUAAUAUAUCGGAACGUGCCCAGUCGUGGGGGAUAACGUAGCGAAAGCUACGCUAAUACCGCAUACGAUCUACGGAUGAAAGCGGGGGAUCGCAAGACUUCGCGCGAUUGGAGCGGCCGAUAUCAGAUUAGGUUGUUGGUGAGGUAAAAGCUCACCAAGCCUGCGAUCUGUAGCUGGUCUGAGAGGACAACCAGCCACACUGGAACUGAGACACGGUCCAGGCUCCUACGGGAGGCAGCAGUGGGGAAUUUUGGACAAUGGACGCAAGUCUGAUCCAGCAAUGCCGCGUGCAGGACGAAGGCCUUCGGGUUGUAAACUGCUUUUGUACGGAACGAAACGGUGAGCUCUAAUACAGUUUGCUAAUGACGGUACCGUAAGAAUAAGCACCGGCUAACUACGUGCCAGCCGCCGCCGUAA
Molecule: ribosomal RNA, 493 nt
Filed under: uncultured bacterium
Lineage: Bacteria
Description: partial 16S ribosomal RNA
Rfam family: Bacterial small subunit ribosomal RNA
Source: RNAcentral